AGCAGCCGCGGUAAUUCCAGCUCCAAUAGCGUAUAUUAAAGUUGUUGCAGUUAAAAAGCUCGUAGUUGAAUUUCGGGAUUGACGUGAUGGUCAUGCCUUAAGGGGUAUGAACUGUUACAGUUGAUUUCUCACCUUCUGGAGAAACUUGAUGUCCUUUAUUGGGUGUCUUGCGGAUCCAGGACCUUUACCUUGAAAAAAAUUAGAGUGUUUAAAGCAGGCAUUUUUUGCUCGAAUACAUUAGCAUGGAAUAAUAGAAUAGGACGGCAUGGUUCUAUUUUUGUUGGUUUCUAGGAUCACCGUAAUGAUUAAUAGGGAUAGUUGGGGGCAUUAGUAUUCAAUUGUCAGAGGUGAAAUUCUUGGAUUUAUUGAAGACUAACUACUGCGAAAGCAUUUGCCAAGGAUGUUUUCAUUAAUCAAGAACGAAAGUUAGGGGAUCGAAGACGAUCAGAUACCGUCGUAGUCUUAACCAUAAACUAUGCCGACUAGGAAUCAGACGAUGUUAAUUUUUUAAUGUACUCGU
Molecule: ribosomal RNA, 520 nt
Filed under: uncultured Glomus
Lineage: Eukaryota; Fungi; Glomeromycota; Glomeromycetes; Glomerales; Glomeraceae
Description: SSU rRNA
Rfam family: Eukaryotic small subunit ribosomal RNA
Source: RNAcentral